AUGUGUGUGUAUUUGUGUGUGUCUGUGUGAUAUAUCAUAUAUAUCAUACACACACACACACACACACACACACACACAUAUACACACACAUAU
This 93-nucleotide microRNA precursor is filed under the name Tursiops truncatus (common bottlenose dolphin). RNAcentral describes it as "miRNA (ENSTTRG00000023755.1)". The record is from RNAcentral. Lineage: Eukaryota; Metazoa; Chordata; Mammalia; Artiodactyla; Delphinidae.